Molecule: ribosomal RNA, 553 nt
Filed under: uncultured archaeon
Lineage: Archaea
Description: bacterial SSU rRNA
Rfam family: Archaeal small subunit ribosomal RNA
Source: RNAcentral
CGGGGUGCACCAGGCGCGAAAACUCUACAAUGCAGGCAACUGCGAUAGGGGGACAUCGAGUGGCAUCCACCUUGGGUGCCUGUCCCACCGUCUAAAAAACGGUGGUUAGCAAGGGCCGGGCAAGACCGGUGCCAGCCGCCGCGGUAAUACCGGCGGCUCGAGUGGUGGCCGAUAUUAUUGAGUCUAAAGGGUCCGUAGCCGGCUUUGCAAGUCCCCUGGGAAAUCCAGCGGCUUAACCGUUGGGCUUUCAUGGGAUACUACAUUGCUUGGGACUGGGAGAGGUAGGAGGUACUCGGGGGGUAGGGGUGAAAUCCUGUAAUCCCCCGGGGACCACCGGUGGCGAAGGCGUCCUACCAGAACAGGUCCGACGGUGAGGGACGAAAGCUAGGGGCACGAACCGGAUUAGAUACCCGGGUAGUCCUAGCCGUAAACGAUGCCCGCUAGGUGUCACGGCGGUCGUGAAUCGCCGUGGUGCCGUAGGGAAGCCGCGAAGCGGGCCACUUGGGAAGUACGGCCGCAAGGCUGAAACUUAAAGGAAUUGGCGGGGGAGCAC